CGGCGCCCCAAGUGGCGAUCGCGAUUAUUGGGCCUAAAGCGUCCGUAGCCGGAUCGAUAAAUCCGCUGUGAAAUCGUUGCGCUCAACGUAACGGCGUGCAGUGGAGACUGUCGAUCUCGAGACCGGGAGGAGUCAGACGUAUGCAGUGGGGACUGGUAAAAUGGUAUAAUCCACUGUAGACGACCGAUGGCGAAGGCAUCUGACCAGAACGGAUCUGACGGUGAGGGACGAAAGCCAGGGGAGCGAACCGGAUUAGAUACCCGAGUAGUCC
RNAcentral lists this ribosomal RNA (271 nucleotides) under uncultured archaeon. RNAcentral's name for it is "partial 16S ribosomal RNA". It matches the Rfam family "Archaeal small subunit ribosomal RNA", at positions 477 to 747 of the family's 1478-position model. The record is from RNAcentral.